This 941-nucleotide ribosomal RNA is filed under the name uncultured crenarchaeote. RNAcentral describes it as "bacterial SSU rRNA". It matches the Rfam family "Archaeal small subunit ribosomal RNA", at positions 1 to 922 of the family's 1478-position model. Lineage: Archaea; Thermoproteati; Thermoproteota. The record is from RNAcentral.
UCCGGUUGAUCCCGCCGGACCUUACUGCUAUCGGGGUGGGACUAAGACAUGCGAGUCGAGCGUCUCUAGCUAUGUUGAGACGCGGCAGACGGCUCAGUAACACGUGGCUAACCUACCCUCAGGACGAGGAUAAACCCGGGAAACUGGGGCUAAUACUCGAUAGGUGAGUAUGUCUGGAAUGAUUUCUCACUCAAAGGGCCUUGGAAACAUGCUUCCAUUGUCGCCUGGGGAUGGGGCCGCGUCCGAUCAGGUUGUUGGUGAGGUAAUGGCUCACCAAGCCUAUAACCGGUACGGGCCGUGAGAGCGGUAGCCUGGAGAUGGGUACUGAGACAAGGACCCAGGCCCUACGGGGCGCAGCAGUCGCGAAAACUCCGCAAUGCACGAAAGUGUGACGGGGCUACCCCGAGUGCCAUCCGCUGAGGAUGGCUUUUCCUUGGUAUAACUCGCCGGGGGAAUAAGGAGAGGGCAAGACUGGUGUCAGCCGCCGCGGUAAUACCAGCUCUCCGAGUGGUAGGGAUGAUUAUUGGGCCUAAAGCGUCCGUAGCCGGCUUAGCAAGUCUCCUGUUAAAUUCAGCGACCUAAUCGUUGAGCCGCGGGAGAUACUACUAGGCUAGGAGGCGGGAGAGGUCGACGGUAUUUCUGGGGUAGGGGUGAAAUCCUAUAAUCCCGGGAGGACCACCAGUGGCGAAGGCUGUCGACUAGAACGCGCUCGACGGUGAGGGACGAAAGCUGGGGGAGCGAACCGGAUUAGAUACCCGGGUAGUCCCAGCCGUAAACGAUGCGGGCUAGGUGUUGGGGUGGCUACGUGCCACUUCAGUGCCGCAGGGAAGCCAUUAAGCCCGCCGCCUGGGGAGUACGGCCGCAAGGCUGAAACUUAAAGGAAUUGGCGGGGGAGCACCACAAGGCGUGAAGCUUGCGGUUCAAUUGGAUUCAACGCCGGG